RNAcentral lists this small RNA (29 nucleotides) under Bombyx mori (domestic silkworm). RNAcentral describes it as "ovarian small RNA-29351". Lineage: Eukaryota; Metazoa; Arthropoda; Insecta; Lepidoptera; Bombycidae. The record is from RNAcentral.
UCGUUGAUCCAACCCGAAUCACUAACUGC